Molecule: long non-coding RNA, 561 nt
Filed under: Monodelphis domestica (gray short-tailed opossum)
Lineage: Eukaryota; Metazoa; Chordata; Mammalia; Didelphimorphia; Didelphidae
Description: lncRNA (ENSMODG00000031047.2)
Source: RNAcentral
UGAUCUCUUUUUUUCCUCAUGACUUUGGGAGGUGAGUGCUAUAAUGAAUUACCUUUAUUUUACAGGUGAGGAAACCAAGGCAGAGGUUGUGACUUCCCCAGUAAAUGCUGGAAUUUCUAGAGCACAAAGUUUUAUUUUGACCUUGGCAGAAGGAAAGGGAAGGAAGAAAGAAGAAUAUGAUGUGCCUGCUUCAGCUACCUUCUUGGCUGUUGGGACAAAUUGUUCUCAUCCAUCUGUUCAUCUGGACAAGGUCUUCAAAUACUUGAGGUAGUUAUGCUCACCAGUUCAUUGAUUGGUUUGCAGACUGUCAGUUACCCACAACCUGGCUUAGCCCAUCUGCCAACAUGGAUUUACUAGGAUGUGACUGCUGUGCAUGCUGCAUCUUCUUGGAGUCACCGGUGAGAGUUGGGUGAAAGGCAAACACUAAAAGGUGGCUGAGCAGCUCUGCAAGGGGGACUAGUCCUUCAAGAACACCUCAUAUUUCUCAGCAACAAGAUAUCCAGAGCUUGGUGCAUUGUAAACAGUUAAUAAAUGCUUAUUGAUUAACUGAUGGAUGUGUCA